UGGAUGAUGGUUGUUUCUGUUUCCUCCCAACACAUAUAUUGGGAUGAAAUUCCCCAUUGAGUUAUACCCUCAUAGGGACAAAUCUUGAUUCAGCGUGCCUCUCUAGUUUGUUCCUAGAUUGACUUCUUGCGUCUUUUCCUGCGCUUCCCCGUAGUUUUAGAUGAAUAGUUGCUCAGUAACCAGUAAUUAUUCAUCUUUUCCCCGGUGGAGUCUGUGGUUUUCUACCUUUAUACCG
This 235-nucleotide long non-coding RNA is filed under the name Lathyrus oleraceus (garden pea). Its description in RNAcentral is "Pisum sativum (pea) long non-coding RNA (PSAT_LNC036141)". The record is from RNAcentral. Lineage: Eukaryota; Viridiplantae; Streptophyta; Magnoliopsida; Fabales; Fabaceae.